This 117-nucleotide ribosomal RNA is filed under the name Petromyzon marinus (sea lamprey). The record is from RNAcentral. Lineage: Eukaryota; Metazoa; Chordata; Hyperoartia; Petromyzontiformes; Petromyzontidae.
ACCUGCUCUCAAAUCGUCCUGAAUGUAACUGAUUUUUUUCGGAUUUCUGAAGUUAAAAGUUGAGUCUGGUUCGUACUUGGAUGGGUGACCACCAGGGCUUGCCAGGUGCUGUAGGAG